RNAcentral lists this ribosomal RNA (775 nucleotides) under uncultured Neocallimastigales. RNAcentral's name for it is "partial large subunit ribosomal RNA". It matches the Rfam family "Eukaryotic large subunit ribosomal RNA", at positions 24 to 649 of the family's 3401-position model. Lineage: Eukaryota; Fungi; Neocallimastigomycota; Neocallimastigomycetes; Neocallimastigales. The record is from RNAcentral.
UAUGUGAUCGUCUCUCGCAUAUCAAUAAGCGGAGGAAAAGAAACUAACAAGGAUUCCCCUAGUAACGGCGAGUGAAGCGGGAAGAGCUCAAAUUUGAAAUCUUAAAGGGUUUCCCUUUACGAAUUGUAGUUUAAAGAAGUGUUUUCUGUUGAGGUUUUGGUAAAAGUUCUUUGGAAUAGGACAUCAUAGAGGGUGAGAAUCCCGUAUUUGACCUUUACUUUCAACUUUGUGAUACACUUUCAAAGAGUCGGAUUGUUUGGGAAUGCAGUCCAAAAUGGGUGGUAAAUUUCAUCUAAAGCUAAAUAUUGGCGAGAGACCGAUAGCGAACAAGUACCGUGAGGGAAAGAUGAAAAGAACUUUGAAAAGAGAGUUAAACAGUACGUGAAAUUGUCAAAAGGGAAGCGUUUGACACCAGUGUUGUUUUUCUGAAAAUCAAUUAAAGAACUGUUUAUGCUAAGUUGUUUAGACUUUAUCAGCUAACUGUUUAGUUUUGAGCUUUUCUUUAAUAUGCACUUUUCAGUUAACAAGUCAACAUCAAUUUCUUUUGCUGUAAAAAAGCUUGAGGAAGGUGGCUUGAGAUUCGUCUUAAGUGUUUAUAGCCUCUUGCCUAUGCAGUCGGAGAGAUGAGGUCUGCAGCGUAGAUCCUUCGGGGCUAAAUGCAUUUGUGCUAAGUUAUAGCAUUUUAUAGACAACUUGUUGACUAUGAUUUGUCUUGUAGCUUACUCGCUUAUGUUAUUUUACCUACGCUUAGGAUGUUGAGUAGCGACAUACGCAC